Molecule: ribosomal RNA, 497 nt
Filed under: uncultured bacterium
Lineage: Bacteria
Description: partial 16S ribosomal RNA
Rfam family: Bacterial small subunit ribosomal RNA
Source: RNAcentral
GAUGAACGCUGGCGGCGUGCCUAAUACAUGCAAGUCGAGCGAACAGAUAAGGAGCUUGCUCCUUUGACGUUAGCGGCGGACGGGUGAGUAACAUGUGGAUAACCUACCUAUAAGACUGGGAUAACUUCGGGAAACCGGAGCUAAUACCGGAUAACAUAUUGAACCGCAUGGUUCAAUAGUGAAAGGCGGCUUUGCUGUCACUUAUAGAUGGAUCCGCGCCGUAUUAGCUAGUUGGUAAGGUAACGGCUUACCAAGGCAACGAUACGUAGCCGACCUGAGAGGGUGAUCGGCCACACUGGAACUGAGACACGGUCCAGACUCCUACGGGAGGCAGCAGUAGGGAAUCUUCCGCAAUGGGCGAAAGCCUGACGGAGCAACGCCGCGUGAGUGAUGAAGGUCUUCGGAUCGUAAAACUCUGUUAUCAGGGAAGAACAAAUGUGUAAGUAACUGUGCACAUCUUGACGGUACCUGAUCAGAAAGCCACGGCUAACUACGUG